Molecule: ribosomal RNA, 433 nt
Filed under: uncultured bacterium
Lineage: Bacteria
Description: partial 16S ribosomal RNA
Rfam family: Bacterial small subunit ribosomal RNA
Source: RNAcentral
AACGAACGCUGGCGGCAUGCCUAACACAUGCAAGUCGAACGAGACCUUCGGGUCUAGUGGCGCACGGGUGCGUAACGCGUGGGAACCUGCCCUUAGGUUCGGAAUAACUCCCCGAAAGGGGUGCUAAUACCGGAUAAUGUCUUCGGACCAAAGAUUUAUCGCCUUUGGAUGGGCCCGCGUUGGAUUAGCUAGUUGGUAGGGUAAAAGCCUACCAAGGCGACGAUCCAUAGCUGGUCUGAGAGGAUGAUCAGCCACACUGGGACUGAGACACGGCCCAGACUCCUACGGGAGGCAGCAGUGGGUAAUAUUGGACAAUGGGCGAAAGCCUGAUCCAGCAAUGCCGCGUGAGUGAUGAAGGCCGUAGGGUUGUAAAGCUCUUUUAACCGGGAUGAUAAUGACAGUACCGGGAGAAUAAGCUCCGGCUAACUCCGUG